RNAcentral lists this ribosomal RNA (119 nucleotides) under Helobdella robusta. The record is from RNAcentral. Lineage: Eukaryota; Metazoa; Annelida; Clitellata; Rhynchobdellida; Glossiphoniidae.
GUCUACGGCCAUAUCACGUUGAAAACACCGGUUCUUAUCCGAUCACCGAAGUUAAGCAACGUCGAGCCCGGUUAGUACUUGGAUGGGUGACCGCCUGGGAAUACCGGGUGCUGUAGGCU